CCUACGGGAGGCAGCAGUGAGGAAUAUUGGUCAAUGGACGCAAGUCUGAACCAGCCAUGCCGCGUGCAGGAAGACGGCUCUAUGAGUUGUAAACUGCUUUUGUACGAGGGUAAACGCAGAUACGUGUAUCUGUCUGAAAGUAUCGUACUAAUAAGGAUCGGCUAACUCCGUGCCAGUAGCCGCGGUAAAACGGAGGAUUCAAGCGUUAUCCGGAUUUAUUGGGUUUAAAGGGUGCGUAGGCGGGCGGAUAAGUUAGAGGUGAAAUCCCCAGGCUCAACUUCGGAAUUGCCUCUGAUACUGUUCGGCUAGAGAGUAGUAGAGGUAGGCGGAAUGUAUGGUGUAGCGGUGAAAUGCUUAGAGAUCAUACAGAACUCCGAUUGCGAAGGCAGCAUACCAAGCCACUUCUGACGUUGAGGCACGAAAGCGUGGGGAGCGAACAGGAUUAGAUACCCGAGUAGUC
Molecule: ribosomal RNA, 460 nt
Filed under: uncultured bacterium
Lineage: Bacteria
Description: partial 16S ribosomal RNA
Rfam family: Bacterial small subunit ribosomal RNA
Source: RNAcentral